Molecule: non-coding RNA, 629 nt
Organism: Neolamprologus brichardi
Lineage: Eukaryota; Metazoa; Chordata; Actinopteri; Cichliformes; Cichlidae
Source: RefSeq, a predicted model, not a curated record
GUUUGUGAUCUGUGUUUUUUAUGAGCAGUAAUGGUACAGCCAGGAUGCUUCAUGUUGGGUUUUAUUUCUGUGGGGACAGGAAUUUCUCCCAUAUGAAACAGAAAGGCUUCAUUUUCAUGUUUUUACUUGUUUGGAACUUCUCUACUUUCUCAGGAAACAUGACUGUUAAUAUAAAUGAGCAACGUAAUAUUUUGCCAGUCGCAACAUAACUUAAUUUUUCGCUGGGAUGUCGAGCUGUGAUACCGUGUCAGCAUUACAUCCAUCGAUCAGACUCUUUCAAAUGGUUUUACAAGAAGGACCAUAGCAGUAAGCAGGUUCAGUUAUUCUUCCAAGAUAAGAGUGGAGUGCAAUACCGUCAAAUGUCCAAUCCCAAAUUGAAAAUUGGAUCCAAUCAUUCCUUGGUUAUCAGCUCUUUUACUGAGGAUGAUGAAGGUGUGUACUGGUGUGAAACUUGCCAAGAAACAUGGCAAAAGUCCACUGACAUCAUAGUGAAGAAAGAGACAUGGAGACUUUUGAAGCAACGACUGCUGUUGGGAAAUCAGAAGUAAGAGCAACAACAGACAAUUUGACUUUCAACAAGUCUAUAUAUAUUGGAAAUGUCAGAAGAGAAGAUGCUGGGAAAUAUACCU